This is a long non-coding RNA of Candoia aspera, 764 nucleotides long. RefSeq lists it as uncharacterized. The transcript is spliced from 4 exons. NCBI's taxonomy places the organism in Eukaryota, Metazoa, Chordata, Lepidosauria, Squamata, Candoiidae. The record is from RefSeq and is a predicted model, not a curated record.
GCUUUUGGUGGAAGAGGCUGCUUUCUUUUCCGGGUGACUUUUACUGGAUUGAGGCGGCUGUCGGGGAGGCCGCUUGUAAACCCCUGGACAACGGAGAACGCCCACUUGGAGCCUUUCUUCGCUUUUGGUGUGUAAAUGAAGACCCCAGAUUCUUCAGCGCUUCCCUGGAGAGAAGAAUGGGGGUAAAAGUUUAAGUACUCAAGGGUGGAGCAAGAAAAGAAUGAAAGGGCAUUGUUUGCACAGAAAGAGGAACAGAGAAUAAAAGCCCUGCUCCGACAGGAAAUGCUCUACUAGCUGAUCCAUAGGACCAUCUUGCCCCAGUGCAAGUGCAGCCUGCUGAUCAUUUCUCGAGGGCAGGAAUGCAUGGCAUCCUCUAUCUGCCCUCUAGUCAACCAGGAAGGCAACUUCCACAUGUCAUUUUCUGCUAAGAAAGUGUUUUCCAGUUUGAAAAAGGAUUUGCUGUACGUUGAAGACCUUGCCAGGAUGGGGGGGGGGGGAUUUGUUUUUCCUAGAUUGGACCCAUCUGCUUCUCCCACAAUUCUUCCAGAUCCAAAUGCCUAAUAUUGAAUUGACAGCAAUAUUCUUUGCUUUCUCCAAUUCCAUGAUAAUUCAAAACCUAGAUGUGGGCUCUGUGUCUGCCAUCUGCUGGUUUGGAUAAAAGUGAAUAAACACGAAAGCCAGCUGGGAGCAGAAAACUCCGUGACGGGGGAAUCAAUAGGGAGGAAGAGAUGACUCUUCGGUGAAGCUCCAGGAAAAAUACAUUU